This 495-nucleotide ribosomal RNA is filed under the name uncultured bacterium. RNAcentral describes it as "partial 16S ribosomal RNA". It matches the Rfam family "Bacterial small subunit ribosomal RNA", at positions 28 to 507 of the family's 1533-position model. The record is from RNAcentral.
GACGAACGCUGGCGGCGUGCCUAAUACAUGCAAGUAGAACGCUGAAGGAGGAGCUUGCUUCUCUGGAUGAGUUGCGAACGGGUGAGUAACGCGUAGGUAACCUGCCUGGUAGCGGGGGGUAACUAUUGGAAACGAUAGCUAAUACCGCAUAAGAGUAGAUGUUGCAUGACAUUUGCUUAAAAGGUGCAAUUGCAUCACUACCAGAUGGACCUGCGUUGUAUUAGCUAGUUGGUGGGGUAACGGCUCACCAAGGCGACGAUACAUAGCCGACCUGAGAGGGUGAUCGGCCACACUGGGACUGAGACACGGCCCAGACUCCUACGGGAGGCAGCAGUAGGGAAUCUUCGGCAAUGGACGGAAGUCUGACCGAGCAACGCCGCGUGAGUGAAGAAGGUUGUCGGAUCGUAAAGCUCUGUUGUAAGAGAAGAACGAGUGUGAGAGUGGAAAGUUCACACUGUGACGGUAUCUUACCAGAAAGGGACGGCUAACUACGUG